Molecule: long non-coding RNA, 286 nt
Organism: Sander lucioperca (pikeperch)
Lineage: Eukaryota; Metazoa; Chordata; Actinopteri; Perciformes; Percidae
Exons: 2
Source: RefSeq, a predicted model, not a curated record
UAGAGAUUCUCAGGUGUGAAAGAUCACAUAUUUGUUUGUUGUUUGAGAGGCUGUUGUCCGUGCACUCGCUGUGGAAUCAAACCUCUCUGAUCUGAACCAUCCUUCUGACUUUCUUCACACAGUUGUGUCUGGCCAGAGGUUUUAUCUGUGAGUUCUGCAGAGAAAGAGACAUCAUCUUUCCUUUUCAGAGUGUCACAUGUAAGCGCUGUCCAGUGUGCAGGGCCUGCUUUCACAAAUGCUGCUUUGUGGAAAAGAAGUGUCCCAAAUGUGCACGGAUCCAAUCACG